RNAcentral lists this ribosomal RNA (253 nucleotides) under uncultured bacterium. RNAcentral describes it as "partial 16S ribosomal RNA". It matches the Rfam family "Bacterial small subunit ribosomal RNA", at positions 524 to 776 of the family's 1533-position model. The record is from RNAcentral.
UACGGAGGGUGCAAGCGUUAUCCGGAUUCACUGGGUUUAAAGGGUGCGUAGGUGGGAAUGUAAGUCAGUGGUGAAAUCUCCGUGCUUAACAUGGAAACUGCCAUUGAUACUAUGUUUCUUGAAUUUUCUGGAGGUAAGCGGAAUAUGUCAUGUAGCGGUGAAAUGCUUAGAUAUGACAUAGAACACCAAUUGCGAAGGCAGCUUGCUACAGGGAUAUUGACACUGAUGCACGAAAGCGUGGGGAUCAAACAGG